RNAcentral lists this microRNA precursor (98 nucleotides) under Camelus bactrianus (Bactrian camel). RNAcentral describes it as "mir-544 microRNA precursor family". It matches the Rfam family "mir-544 microRNA precursor family". RNAcentral also lists the same sequence under 2 other names. The record is from Rfam by way of RNAcentral. Lineage: Eukaryota; Metazoa; Chordata; Mammalia; Artiodactyla; Camelidae.
AUCAUCUGGGCAUCUUGUUAAAGUGCAGAUUCUGACUCAGCAGGUUUGGGAUGGAGCCCAGGAUUCUGCAUUUCUAAUGAGCUCCCAGGUGAUGCUGA